GAUGAAGAACGUAGCGAAAUGCGAUAAGUAAUGUGAAUUGCAGAAUUCAGUGAAUCAUCGAAUCUUUGAACGCACAUUGCGCCCGCCAGUAUUCUGGCGGGCAUGCCUGUUCGAGCGUCAUUUCAACCAUCAAGCCCCCGGCUUGUGUUGGGGACCUGCGGCUGCCGCAGGCCCUGAAAACCAGUGGCGGGCUCGCUAGUCACUCCGAGCGUAGUAGUUACAUCUCGCUCAGGGCGUGCUGCGGGUUCCGGCCGUUAAAAAGCCUUUUUUACCCAAGGUUGACCUCGGAUCAGGUAGGAAGACCCGCUGAACUUAAGCAUAUCAAUAAGCGGAGGA
Molecule: unclassified non-coding RNA, 336 nt
Filed under: soil metagenome
Description: partial contains 5.8S ribosomal RNA, internal transcribed spacer 2, and large subunit ribosomal RNA
Rfam family: 5.8S ribosomal RNA (bases 1-120)
Source: RNAcentral